Molecule: unclassified non-coding RNA, 291 nt
Filed under: Hevea brasiliensis (rubber tree)
Lineage: Eukaryota; Viridiplantae; Streptophyta; Magnoliopsida; Malpighiales; Euphorbiaceae
Source: RNAcentral
GCUAAAGGAGAGAAAGAUCUUGGUGGUGGCUGCACAGAUGAAGCCUGUGGUUUCUUGGCAAUAAAUGCGUGCAAGGGAUAGUUCAAUCGAGCACCAAUGCAGUGGGAAAGAAGAGAAGGGCUUAAAGGAGAGUAAUUAGAAACAGGAUUUAGUUUUGUCGAGACAUUUGACUCAAGAAGGAUAUGGAAAACGACAUUCAUUGCACGAUUAUCCGUCACUCCUUGCCCUAGGCCGCGUCCAUCAUCCCUGGACAAACGACGGUCGAGCAUAAUCUCUAACCAUCCAUCUUUG